UAUUGGUAAUGGGCGAAAGCCUGAACCAGCAACGUCGCGUGUGCGAUGAAGGCCUUCGGGUUGUAAAGCACUUUUGACCGGGACGAGGAAGGACGGUACCGGUGUAAUAAGCCUCGGCUAACUACGUGCCAGCAGCCGCGGUAAAACGUAGGACGCGAGCGUUAUCCGGAUCUACUGGGUGUAAAGCGCAUGCAGGCGGUUCGUUAAGUUGGGUGUGAAAGCUCCUGGCUCAACUAGGAGAGGUCGCUCAAGACUGG
RNAcentral lists this ribosomal RNA (257 nucleotides) under uncultured bacterium. RNAcentral describes it as "partial 16S ribosomal RNA". It matches the Rfam family "Bacterial small subunit ribosomal RNA", at positions 362 to 636 of the family's 1533-position model. The record is from RNAcentral.